RNAcentral lists this unclassified non-coding RNA (432 nucleotides) under soil metagenome. RNAcentral's name for it is "partial contains 5.8S ribosomal RNA, internal transcribed spacer 2, and large subunit ribosomal RNA". The stretch from base 1 to 120 matches the Rfam family "5.8S ribosomal RNA", at positions 35 to 154 of the family's 154-position model. The record is from RNAcentral.
GAUGAAGAACUUAGCGAAAUGCGAUACGUAAUGUGAAUUGCAGAAUUCAGUGAAUCAUCGAAUCUUUGAACGCAUAUUGCGCUCUCUGGUAUUCCGGAGAGCAUGCUUGUUUGAGUAUCAGUAAACACCUCAACUUCCAUAUCUUUUUUGAAAUGGGAGUUGGACUUGAGUGAUCCCAACGCUUUUCCUCACCGAAAAGUGGCGGGUUACUUGAAAUGCAGGUGCAGCUGGACUUUUCUCUGAGCUAUAAGCAUAUCUAUUUAGUCUGCCUAAAAACAGAUUAUUACCUUUGCUGCAGCUAACAUAAAGGAGAUUAGUUCUUGUGCUGACUGAUGCAGGAUUCACAAAGACAGGCUUCGGCCGACUUUGUAAACUCGAUCUCAAAUCAAGUAAGACUACCCGCUGAACUUAAGCAUAUCAAUAAGCGGAGGA